This 254-nucleotide ribosomal RNA is filed under the name uncultured bacterium. RNAcentral's name for it is "partial 16S ribosomal RNA". It matches the Rfam family "Bacterial small subunit ribosomal RNA", at positions 524 to 776 of the family's 1533-position model. The record is from RNAcentral.
UACGGGGGGAGCAAGCGUUGUUCGGAUUUACUGGGCGUAAAGGGCGCGUAGGCGGUCAGCACAAGUCAGUUGUGAAAUCUCCGGGCUUAACUCGGAAAGGUCAACUGAUACUGUGCGACUAGAGUGCGGAAGGGGCAACUGGAAUUCUCGGUGUAGCGGUGAAAUGCGUAGAUAUCGAGAGGAACACCUGCGGCGAAGGCGGGUUGCUGGGCCGAUACUGACGCUGAGGAGCGAAAGCGUGGGGAGCAAACAGG